This is a non-coding RNA of Notechis scutatus (mainland tiger snake), 406 nucleotides long. Lineage: Eukaryota; Metazoa; Chordata; Lepidosauria; Squamata; Elapidae. The record is from RefSeq and is a predicted model, not a curated record.
UUUUUAUUCCUGUUCUAUUUCAGUGUCUUGUGCUCCUCAGUCACACUUUGUUAGUGAAAUUUGGUUAUUACAAGAUUGUCUUAUUUUCUUUCUACCUGGAAGGAACGGCUGCAAUUCUCAUGCUCGCUCUGGGUCGAGAAUAUUACUAUUUAUUGGCUAUUUAUCUCACUGUCAACAUGGUGAUGGUUCAAGCAUCCUUCAGUCUGUUUAAUCUACCAUUGGCUGAUAUUGUUGAUGCAGAUUUAAAGAAACAUAAAAGAAAAUCUCCGCUCUCAUCCAUGGUCUUUGGAACGAACGCUCUCUUCACAAAGCCGGCUCAGUCCUUAGCUCCGAUGCUUGUGGUUUCUGUACUAAAUCAAUUUGGCUUCGCGGAUCUGAAUAGUAAAGCCGUCAAUCCUGACUCCAG